UUAAGCGACUAAGCGUACACGGUGGAUGCCCUGGCAGUCAGAGGCGAUGAAGGACGUGCUAAUCUGCGAAAAGCGUCGGUAAGGUGAUAUGAACCGUUAUAACCGGCGAUGUCCGAAUGGGGAAACCCAGUGCAAUUCGUUGCACUAUCGUUAACUGAAUACAUAGGUUAACGAGGCGAACCGGGGGAACUGAAACAUCUAAGUACCCCGAGGAAAAGAAAUCAACCGAGAUUCCCCCAGUAGCGGCGAGCGAACGGGGAGCAGCCCAGAGUCUGAAUCAGCUUGUGUGUUAGUGGAACGGUCUGGAAAGUCCGACGGUACAGGGUGAUAGUCCCGUACACCAAAAUGCACAGGCUGUGAACUCGAAGAGUAGGGCGGGACACGUGGUAUCCUGUCUGAAUAUGGGGGGACCAUCCUCCAAGGCUAAAUACUCCUGACUGACCGAUAGUGAACCAGUACCGUGAGGGAAAGGCGAAAAGAACCCCGGCGAGGGGAGUGAAAAAGAACCUGAAACCGUGUACGUACAAGCAGUGGGAGCACCUUCGGGUGUGACUGCGUACCUUUUGUAUAAUGGGUCAGCGACUUAUAUUCUGUAGCAAGGUUAACCGUAUAGGGGAGCCGCAGGGAAACCGAGUCUUAACUGGGCGUUAAGUUGCAGGGUAUAGACCCGAAACCCGGUGAUCUAGCCAUGGGCAGGUUGAAGGUUGGGUAACACUAACUGGAGGACCGAACCGACUAAUGUUGAAAAAUUAGCGGAUGACUUGUGGCUGGGGGUGAAAGGCCAAUCAAACCGGGAGAUAGCUGGUUCUCCCCGAAAGCUAUUUAGGUAGCGCCUCGUGAACUCAUCUUCGGGGGUAGAGCACUGUUUCGGCUAGGGGGUCAUCCCGACUUACCAACCCGAUGCAAACUACGAAUACCGAAGAAUGUUAUCACGGGAGACACACGGCGGGUGCUAACGUCCGUCGUGAAGAGGGAAACAACCCAGACCGCCAGCUAAGGUCCCAAAGUCAUGGUUAAGUGGGAAACGAUGUGGGAAGGCACAGACAGCCAGGAUGUUGGCUUAGAAGCAGCCAUCAUUUAAAGAAAGCGUAAUAGCUCACUGGUCGAGUCGGCCUGCGCGGAAGAUGUAACGGGGCUAAACCAUGCACCGAAGCUGCGGCAGCGACACUAUGUGUUGUUGGGUAGGGGAGCGUUCUGUAAGCCUGCGAAGGUGUGCUGUGAGGCAUGCUGGAGGUAUCAGAAGUGCGAAUGCUGACAUAAGUAACGAUAAAGCGGGUGAAAAGCCCGCUCGCCGGAAGACCAAGGGUUCCUGUCCAACGUUAAUCGGGGCAGGGUGAGUCGACCCCUAAGGCGAGGCCGAAAGGCGUAGUCGAUGGGAAACAGGUUAAUAUUCCUGUACUUGGUGUUACUGCGAAGGGGGGACGGAGAAGGCUAUGUUAGCCGGGCGACGGUUGUCCCGGUUUAAGCAUGUAGGCUGGUUGUCCAGGCAAAUCCGGAUAAUCAAGGCUGAGGUGUGAUGACGAGGCACUACGGUGCUGAAGUAACAAAUGCCCUGCUUCCAGGAAAAGCCUCUAAGCAUCAGGUAACAUCAAAUCGUACCCCAAACCGACACAGGUGGUCAGGUAGAGAAUACCAAGGCGCUUGAGAGAACUCGGGUGAAGGAACUAGGCAAAAUGGUGCCGUAACUUCGGGAGAAGGCACGCUGGUGUGUAGGUGAAGUCCCUGCGGAUGGAGCUGAGACCAGUCGAAGAUACCAGCUGGCUGCAACUGUUUAUUAAAAACACAGCACUGUGCAAACACGAAAGUGGACGUAUACGGUGUGACGCCUGCCCGGUGCCGGAAGGUUAAUUGAUGGGGUUAUCCGUAAGGAGAAGCUCUUGAUCGAAGCCCCGGUAAACGGCGGCCGUAACUAUAACGGUCCUAAGGUAGCGAAAUUCCUUGUCGGGUAAGUUCCGACCUGCACGAAUGGCGUAAUGAUGGCCAGGCUGUCUCCACCCGAGACUCAGUGAAAUUGAACUCGCUGUGAAGAUGCAGUGUACCCGCGGCAAGACGGAAAGACCCCGUGAACCUUUACUAUAGCUUGACACUGAACAUUGAGCCUUGAUGUGUAGGAUAGGUGGGAGGCUUUGAAGCGUGGACGCCAGUCUGCGUGGAGCCAACCUUGAAAUACCACCCUUUAAUGUUUGAUGUUCUAACGUUGGCCCCUUAUCGGGGUUGCGGACAGUGUCUGGUGGGUAGUUUGACUGGGGCGGUCUCCUCCCAAAGCGUAACGGAGGAGCACGAAGGUUAGCUAAUCCUGGUCGGACAUCAGGAGGUUAGUGCAAUGGCAUAAGCUAGCUUGACUGCGAGCGUGACGGCGCGAGCAGGUGCGAAAGCAGGUCAUAGUGAUCCGGUGGUUCUGAAUGGAAGGGCCAUCGCUCAACGGAUAAAAGGUACUCCGGGGAUAACAGGCUGAUACCGCCCAAGAGUUCAUAUCGACGGCGGUGUUUGGCACCUCGAUGUCGGCUCAUCACAUCCUGGGGCUGAAGUAGGUCCCAAGGGUAUGGCUGUUCGCCAUUUAAAGUGGUACGCGAGCUGGGUUUAGAACGUCGUGAGACAGUUCGGUCCCUAUCUGCCGUGGGCGCUGGAGAAUUGAGGGGGGCUGCUCCUAGUACGAGAGGACCGGAGUGGACGCAUCACUGGUGUUCGGGUUGUCAUGCCAAUGGCACUGCCCGGUAGCUAAAUGCGGAAGAGAUAAGUGCUGAAAGCAUCUAAGCACGAAACUUGCCCCGAGAUGAGUUCUCCCUGAGACUUUAAGUCUCCUGAAGGAACGUUGAAGACGACGACGUUGAUAGGCCGGGUGUGUAAGCGCAGCGAUGCGUUGAGCUAACCGGUACUAAUGAACCGUGAGGCUUAACCUU
RNAcentral lists this ribosomal RNA (2900 nucleotides) under Klebsiella pneumoniae BIDMC 31. Its description in RNAcentral is "bacterial LSU rRNA". It matches the Rfam family "Bacterial large subunit ribosomal RNA". The record is from RNAcentral. Lineage: Bacteria; Pseudomonadati; Pseudomonadota; Gammaproteobacteria; Enterobacterales; Enterobacteriaceae.